This 1829-nucleotide long non-coding RNA is filed under the name Theobroma cacao (cacao). RNAcentral's name for it is "long non-coding RNA (TCAC_LNC002904)". Lineage: Eukaryota; Viridiplantae; Streptophyta; Magnoliopsida; Malvales; Malvaceae. The record is from RNAcentral.
GAAAAGUGUGAAAAUUCAAGGAAACAAGUGAAAGAAAAGGUAAGAUUUUUCAAUUAAGCUUGUGAUCUACCUUUCCCAUGCAUUCUUUUGCAUUUUUCAUGGUUGAAUCACAUGAUUUCAUGAUGGGUAUCUUGCUGCUUGAACACUUAAAGAGAGGUUUUGAUGUUUGAUUUGGUUAGAUUUCAAUGUAUUUUAGUGUUUUUAGUUGAUUGGUGAUGUGUAGCAUGAAAAUCAAGCAAGAAAAAUUCAUGUUCUUCCAUCACCCAUCAUUGGCCGAAUUCUCCAUGUCGAAUAUUGAUGAUGAUUUUGAUUUUCUUUCAAGUGAUUUGGUUAGGAAUUAGUGAUUUAUGGUGUGAGAAUCAAGCUUGAAAAAUUAUAGUGUUGAUGCACCCACCAUGGCCAAAUUUUCCAAAAGAAAAUGUGAGGAUGAUUUUGCCAUAUUUCAAGUUAUUUAAUUUGUGUUUGAUGAUUUGGAGUAUUGGGAGAAAAAUGGAGUUAAUUGGAGUUAAAUUGGACAUAUUGGCCAAUUAAUCAAGUGAUAGAUUGAAUUAGGCCAAUACCGUUUUAUUUAGGUACACAAUUGAAUUUGUGUAGAACACCGUGUUUAGACGAUAAUCUAAACAAUUUAUAUCCCAUUUCAUGCAUUAGUAUAAAGCCUGAAUUGAUUUUAUAACAAUUUAGCACAAAUGUAGUAAAUGACUUAUUGUGCAUUAUGUCUAGGUGGUGAGCAUUCUGGCAAAAGUAAAAAGAUAGUACCCGAGGAUCAAGAAUCAGAGUACUCGGAAUUCGAAUCUCGAAAUAGUGAGUAACCUUACUAUCGUCUUAAUUAUCUAAAGUGGUUUUUAUCUGAUUUUGUGAUUUUAUGGAAAAUGAGUUUAAAUGGUAAAUCUUUAUUUUUUUAUAAACAAAAUGUGUUUAAAUGGUAAAUCUUUAUUUUUUUAUAAACAAAAUGUGUUUAAAUGAAAUGAUUUUAUAAAUUAUCUUGAAAUUGAAUGAUGGCUUUGAAAAUAGAGUAAUUGGAGACCAUUUGAUGUGUUGUGAAUUUAUGGUUCUAAUUGAUUGGCUUAUGGCAAUAUUAGCAUGAAUGGCUGAAUUGGUAUUUGUGUUGAAAAUGUAUAAACUGUUGUUUGCCUUGAUAGGCUGGAUAAUGAUAAAAUUGCCAUGUCAUGCUGUUAAAUUUUAUUGAAUUUGUGGGUUAUUGAUUUGUCGCUGCAGUGGACGGGUUCCAUGGACCAGCCUAUUAGAGGGGGCACGGUAACCCUAUUAUAUUCUCACCUCGGUCGGAGAGGCGUGUAGGGUAACUCCCGAGGUACACUUUUAGAGUUCACUUCACGCCAAACCACCACGUGAGGGUGAACUCAGCCAACGCCAAGGAACGACUAUGUUUUUCAAACUAAAAAUAUGUUUAUGUGUAUACGAAACUUUUUAUCAGCCUUGGCGGUCUCGGUUGGGAUAGCCCUCGGUCUAGGUAUCCUUGAUAACUGAGUAUGAGAAUGAUUUUGACACGAUCCAAAGUUUUAAGAAAUUCAUAAGCCAUGUUGAAUACUCGAUUUAUUGAAUUGAUUUUAUUUGGUUGAAAUGAGUUGAAAGGUGACGAAUUACAAUGUGAUAAUUUAUUUUAAUCUGUCUCCAUUUACUCAGUUUUUAGAUAUUUUAGAUGGUAUUUGUUUACUCACUGGGAUUAUAUAAUCUCACCACCCUCAUUUCCACCCGUUUCAAGCUUAGGAUAGUCAGUAGAUAGCUCACUUUGUUGAGGGCUACAGUUGAAUUUGCAUCCUCAAAAACUGUAGGUUCAUAGCCUUCAUUACUUUUGGUCGUUCGUGGGCCUA